GAAGAACAAGCCCAGACACGUUUCUUCACGGAGCCUAAGGAAAACACUUUACCGAACUCAUAUGGGAUGGCCCUGUAAGUUGUGCAGCACUGAAUGACAUUUUAAAGCAUUACAGACUGCACCAUGGGACCUUUGGACACAGCAAUUCCUUGCCUUGCAUUCAUAUUAAUGAAGUGUCCGAAGGUGCACUGCUGUUCCACUGGAAUCAACAUUUAUGUCCCAACUGGACAGGUACACGCCAAAACUCCUGGAGCUCUUCAGUGCAAAAGGAGGAGUGACUGCAGCGCAUCAAGAACUUGUUGAUGGAACUGAUACAGGACCCAAGUGCCUCUGCAGUGAAGAAGAGAGAUGUGACUGUGAGAUGCCUCAUAGAGUACAUGGUAGAGAGUGGACAGGAGCUAAUCUCUGACUACUGGAACUGCAGAGACCACUGUUCAUGAGGACCUGGAAAUGAAGAAUAUGAGCAUCUACAUCUGUCGUGAGCCAAAUGCAGUAGGAAUCAUCAUUGAGGGAGUACCAGUCCUUACUCGUCUUGGAAACCUGGCCAAAGCAUGCUGCCUACUUCUGGGGUUGACGUAUGCACUUAAUCUUGAGUAUCCAUCCAAACUUUCCAAAACAUUUGAGGUGUUUCAAAGACUUUUUGUGGGACUUGACACACUGCGCCCAAAACCAACCCCCAAAUUCAUGACUCUCAAAAACAAGCUUCUAGCUUAGGCACUGAGCCAUGACUGUCAGCUUGCACUUUUGAACAGCUAUUUUCUUGUGUCUGUUCAAAAUCAUUAUACAUUGUUCAUUGAGUGGAAUUCUUCAGAAUGUUGUAACGGUUUGUCCUGUUCAGGUUUUUUACAAAGCUCCAGGUCAUCGUUUCUGGUGUGUAAAUUAAGUUUUUUUAUGUUUUAUACACACUAAAUUGCCCCACUGUGAAGCUCCAGCUGGUCAGAAGGAGGGAUC
Long non-coding RNA from Nerophis lumbriciformis (worm pipefish), 951 nucleotides. RefSeq lists it as uncharacterized. NCBI's taxonomy places the organism in Eukaryota, Metazoa, Chordata, Actinopteri, Syngnathiformes, Syngnathidae. The record is from RefSeq and is a predicted model, not a curated record.